Molecule: ribosomal RNA, 253 nt
Filed under: uncultured bacterium
Lineage: Bacteria
Description: partial 16S ribosomal RNA
Rfam family: Bacterial small subunit ribosomal RNA
Source: RNAcentral
UACGGAGGGUGCAAGCGUUGCUCGGAAUUAUUGGGCGUAAAGGGUAGGUAGGUGGUCUCGUUUGUCUGGGGUGAAAGCCUUGAGCUUAACUCAAGAAGUGCCCCAGAAACGGCGAGACUAGAGUCCUAGAGAGGGUCGUGGAAUUCCCGGUGUAGCGGUGAAAUGCGUAGAGAUCGGGAGGAACACCAGAGGCGGAGGCGGCGACCUGGAUAGGUACUGACACUCAACUACGAAAGCGUGGGGAGCAAACAGG